Molecule: ribosomal RNA, 253 nt
Filed under: uncultured bacterium
Lineage: Bacteria
Description: partial 16S ribosomal RNA
Rfam family: Bacterial small subunit ribosomal RNA
Source: RNAcentral
UACGGGGGGGGCAAGCGUUGUUCGGAAUUACUGGGCGUAAAGGGCUCGUAGGUGGCCAACUAAGUCAGACGUGAAAUCCCUCGGCUUAACCGGGGAACUGCGUCUGAUACUGGAUGGCUUGAGUUCGGGAGAGGGAUGCGGAAUUCCAGGUGUAGCGGUGAAAUGCGUAGAUAUCUGGAGGAACACCGGUGGCGAAGGCGGCAUCCUGGACCGACACUGACACUGAGGCACGAAAGCGUGGGGAGCAAACAGG